Podarcis raffonei (Aeolian wall lizard) is the source of this 762-nucleotide long non-coding RNA. RefSeq lists it as uncharacterized. The record is from RefSeq and is a predicted model, not a curated record. Lineage: Eukaryota; Metazoa; Chordata; Lepidosauria; Squamata; Lacertidae. The transcript is spliced from 3 exons.
UUAAGAGGAAUGAUAGGAUUUUGUCAGGGGACUGAUUUGUAAAUCUGGGGACUGUCCCCGGGAAACGGGGACGUCUGGUAACCUUAUUCUAUACAGUCUAUCUGGGACAUAAAAUUGAGGGUGUCUUAACAGGGAAUGCUUAAUCAGUGUUUCCAAGGAAAAUGCUGUGACUGUUUACAGACAAGUGCCAUUUGUGUCGCGAUACCCAUAACAACAGUGGAGCUUAACAGUGCUUUCACUGUUGUCCGUGGGCUACCAGUGGUCCACAAACAGGAAACAAGGGGCGAGGGGACACCAGUGGAGAAGAGCAAGAAGGGAAGAAACCGAGACAUCAAAGUCUGGAGAGAAGCAUAAGGUAUUCUUCCGCCAUCUCUGACUCUCCAACCAGGGGCCCCCCUCUCCCCUCCUGAGACUCGAGCUUUCUCCAAAAAAGCAAAUUGCUGAGUUUGGAUUUGGCACCUCCAGGAAGAGGAGGCACCUUUGAUGAAUACCAAGCGGGCAGACUUCAAUCGCUUCAAUGAGAACCGUUUCCAGAAGAACUCAAGAGUUUCUCCUAUAUUACUGACCUGGUUCCUAAGCACGAUAAAAGAAAACAAACUUUGACCAGCAAACGCGUAUAUACCCCAGGACAAGGGUAGAGAGACCUCAGAUGCAGGAACUGAAUGUGGCCUCCAGGCAUUUCUAUCUGGCCCUCGGAACUUUCGUCAUGACACCCCCUCACUGUGACCCCACUUUUCACCCUGAGUGUUUUGUCCUAGCAGG